Molecule: ribosomal RNA, 253 nt
Filed under: uncultured bacterium
Lineage: Bacteria
Description: partial 16S ribosomal RNA
Rfam family: Bacterial small subunit ribosomal RNA
Source: RNAcentral
GACGGAGGAGGCUAGCGUUGUUCGGAAUUACUGGGCGUAAAGCGCACGUAGGCGGUGAUGUAAGUCGGGGGUGAAAGCCCGGGGCUUAACCCUGGAAUUGCCUUCGAGACUGCAUCGCUUGAGUAUGGAAGAGGAGAGCGGAAUUCCCAGUGUAGAGGUGAAAUUCGUAGAUAUUGGGAAGAACACCGGUGGCGAAGGCGGCUCUCUGGUCCAUUACUGACGCUGAGGUGCGAAAGCGUGGGGAGCAAACAGG